Molecule: long non-coding RNA, 1347 nt
Filed under: Callithrix jacchus (white-tufted-ear marmoset)
Lineage: Eukaryota; Metazoa; Chordata; Mammalia; Primates; Cebidae
Description: lncRNA (ENSCJAG00000077534.1)
Source: RNAcentral
AUGGCAGGCGUGAGCCACUGUGUCUGGGCUUGUAACAAUCAUCUGUCACCUAUCUGUCUUCUGUCCAUCAUUUAUUAUCUAUCCAUCCGUCCAUCCAUCCAUCCAUCACCUACCAUCUAUUCACUAUCCAUCCUUCUCACCCAUGCAUCCAUCCAUCCACCUACCCAUCCACCAUCUACCAUCUAUUCACCCAUCCAUCCUUCUCACCCAUCCAUCCUUCUCACCCAUGCAUCCAUCCAUCCAUCUACCCAUCCACCAUCUACCAUCUAUUCACCCAUACAUCCUUCUCACACAUGCAUCCAUCCAUCCACCUACCCAUCCAUCACCUACCAUCUAUUCACCCAUUCAUCCUUCUCACCCAUGCAUCCAUCCAUCCAUCCAUCUACCUACCCAUCCAUCUAUCUAUCUCAUCCAUCCAUCCACCCAUCAUCCAUCCAUCAUCUAUCAUCUAUACACUCAUCCAUCUUUCUCACCCAUGCAUCCAUCCAUCCAUCUACCCAUCAUCUACCAUCCAUUCACCCAUCCAUCCUUCUCACCCAUGCAUCCAUCCAUCCAUCUACCCAUCAUCUACCAUCUAUUCACCCAUCCAUCCUUCUCACCCAUGCAUCCAUCCAUCCACCUACCCAUCCAUCAUCUACCAUCUAUUCACCCAUCCAUCCUUCUCACCCAUGCAUCCAUCCAUCCACCUACCCAUCCACCAUCUACCAUCUAUUCACCCAUCCAUCCUUCUCACCCAUGCAUCCAUCCAUCCAUCCAUCUACCCAUCCAUCACCUACCAUCUAUUCACCCAUCCAUCCUUCUCACCCAUGCAUCCAUCCAUCCACCUACCCAUCCACCAUCUACCAUCUAUUCACCCAUCCAUCCUUCUCACCCAUGCAUCCAUCCAUCCACCCACCUACCCAUCCAUCCAUCCAUCCACCCAUCAUCCAUCCAUCUACCCAUCCAUCAUCUAUUCACCCAUCCAUCCAUUUCACCCAUCCAUCCACCCAUCAACCCAUCCUUCUCACCCAAUGCAUUCAUCCAUCCAUCUACCUAUCCAUCAUCUACCAUCUAUUCACCCAUCCAUCCUUCUCACCCAUCUACCCAUCCAUAAUCUACCAUCUGUUCACCCAUCCAUCCUUCUCACCCAUGCAUCCAUCCAUCCACCUACCCAUCCAUCCAUCCAUCUACCCAUCCAUUAUCUACCAUCUAUUUACCCAUCCAUCCUUCUCACCCAUACAUCCAUCUAACUACCCAUCCAUCUGCCUAUGCACACCCAGCAUCUAUUCAUCCAUCCAUCCUUCUCAUCCUUGCAUCCAUGUAUCCAUCCGUCCAUCUGUCUCAUCCAUCCAUCUACCCAUCAUCUAA